Molecule: long non-coding RNA, 2015 nt
Organism: Felis catus (domestic cat)
Lineage: Eukaryota; Metazoa; Chordata; Mammalia; Carnivora; Felidae
Exons: 3
Source: RefSeq, a predicted model, not a curated record
CGCUUAACGGAAUGAACCACCCAGGCGCCCCCCUGCCCUGCGCCUCAUUGACCCUGUUUUGAAACGUUGGGUGGCUAUUUGUCCACAUGUAGGCUUUUUUUUUUUUCCUUCAGCACAGGGAUUUUAAUUUGCCAUAAAGGCUGUUAUUGGAACAACUAGCAAAAUCUGAAUAAGGUUUGUAGAUUAGAUAAUAGUAUUAUGUCAAUGUUCAUUUCCUGAUUUUAAUAAUUAUAUCAUGAUUAUGUAAGAGACUGGCCUGUUUUUAAGAAACAUACAUGGAAGCAUUUAAGGACAAAGGGACAUCAUGUCUUCAAACCCAAAAAGGUUCAGAAAGGUGUGCGUGUGUGUGUGUGUGUGUAUAAAAUAACCAUGGUACAUGUUAACAUUUGGAGAAUUUUUUAAAUGAAACUGUUUUUUCUUUGUUUUUCAACAGCUUUCUUGAGCUAUCAUUGACAUAUAAAAAUUGUACGUAUUUAAGGUAUACAACUUGAUGUUUUGAUAUAUGUAUGCAUUGUUCAAUGAGCACCGCAAUUAAGCUAAUUAACAUAUUCAUCACCUGUAUAGUCACCAUCUGUGUAUUGGGGGCAGAUUUGGGGGGGGGUUAGAAUAUUUAAAAUUUAUCCUCUUAACAAAUUUCAGGUAUACAAUACAGUUUUGUUGAUUGUCAUCACCAUGCUGGACAUAAAGUCUUGAGAACGUAUUCAUCUUGCAUUACUGAAACUUGGUACCCUGUGCCUACGUAGCAGUCAAAUAUGGCAGCUGGGACAGGGGCUGGGGAGCCCAGCUUCCUGGUUCAAAUUCUGCUGCCACUAUUUACCAUGAGUUUGGGAAAAUUAACCUCUGAUUCUUUAUCAACAAAAUUGGAUAAUUAUAAAAUCUAUUUCUUAGUAGCGUUGGGAGGCUUAAAAGAGAUGGUAAAGGACUUAAAGCUAUUGGAAAGAAAGUAACUACUAGCUGUUACUGUAAUUAUUACUAACAUUAAAAGUAGUAAGUAUGGUAUAGUAGAAAUAACCCACUACAGUUAAACCUCUACAUUAAAUCUUUGGGACUUAAAGCCAAAAUACUUUUUUCUGCUGCACUGUUUAAGACCAUAGCAUCCUUAUCUCAUCUGGCCCAUCUGAUAAGGUAAGAGCUUUUUAGCAAAAAACUUACUAUGCUAUAAGAGGUGAUCAAUAAACGCAGGAGGGUUUAUUGUUUACCAAAUAAGCUAGUCUGAAGAACGUAAAGAUCCACAUUUGCCUACCUGAGUUGAAGCCAGAAAUCUGUCUGUCCUGCACUAAUAACCUGACCACAAGAUUCAAUGGCAGGAGGGAGCUGGUACACUAAUGUGAGGCAAAGGAGGACAAAAAGAAACAGAAGAGACAGCUGAUCUGAGACCUGCCAUGAUAGGAAAAGAACAUUUUGUAUCGUUCUUUAGACUCUAUAUGUAUUCACAAGAGGCUAAGAGAGAAGUUUUUUUCCUGACAGUGGGCUCUACUGUGAUGAAAGGAUUAUGCACAUCUUCUGCCCCCAGGGCCAUGCACUUUAUAUUUCACCUUCCUAUACCCCUCAAAUUGUUCUACAUUGACAACCACCUGCAGGUGAGCCUGGCCCAGCCCUUCCCACCACACACUGCUGUUCACACCUGGAGGCCACUGGGGCACAGAGUAACCUGGAACCAGGAGGCCCCAGCUUCCCAGUGUGGUUGCUGAGCUGCAAUUGAGCGGACACACAUUACUGAUUUCUCCGGAAAAGACCCAGGUCAUCUGUCCGAGAUUCUUCCAGUGGACACCAAUCUCCAAAGCAAGGCUUUUGGGUCAGUGGUUCCCAAGACUGCCUUUGUAUCAGAAUCAUCUGGGGAGCAUAAUAAAGUACAGAUUCUCAGCCUUCCCCUCACAUCUGUGGUCUCAGAAUCUUUUGGGAUGAAGCCUGGAAAUCUGGAUUUAGAGAAUUUUCCAGGGAAGUCCACAGAUUCACAUGGCCUACAGUUGAUCAAGAAACAGCAGUAUGUGAACAUUCUUUAAAGAUACUGAGGU